UACAGAGGUCUCAAGCGUUGUUCGGAUUCAUUGGGCGUAAAGGGUGCGUAGGCGGCGCGGUAAGUCGGGUGUGAAAUCUCGGGGCUUAACUCCGAAACUGCAUUCGAUACUGCCGUGCUUGAGGACUGGAGAGGAGACUGGAAUUUACGGUGUAGCGGUGAAAUGCGUAGAUAUCGUAAGGAAGACCAGUGGCGAAGGCGAAUCUCUGGACAGUUACUGACACUGAGGCACGAAGGCCAGGGGAGCGAACGGG
RNAcentral lists this ribosomal RNA (253 nucleotides) under uncultured bacterium. RNAcentral's name for it is "partial 16S ribosomal RNA". It matches the Rfam family "Bacterial small subunit ribosomal RNA", at positions 524 to 776 of the family's 1533-position model. The record is from RNAcentral.